RNAcentral lists this ribosomal RNA (375 nucleotides) under uncultured bacterium. RNAcentral describes it as "bacterial SSU rRNA". It matches the Rfam family "Bacterial small subunit ribosomal RNA", at positions 524 to 898 of the family's 1533-position model. The record is from RNAcentral.
UACGGAGGGUGCAAGCGUUAAUCGGAAUUACUGGGCGUAAAGCGCACGCAGGCGGUCUGUCAAGUCGGAUGUGAAAUCCCCGGGCUCAACCUGGGAACUGCAUUCGAAACUGGCAAGCUAGAGUCUUGUAGAGGGGGGUAGAAUUCCAGGUGUAGCGGUGAAAUGCGUAGAGAUCUGGAGGAAUACCGGUGGCGAAGGCGGCCCCCUGGACAAAGACUGACGCUCAGGUGCGAAAGCGUGGGGAGCAAACAGGAUUAGAUACCCUGGUAGUCUACGCCGUAAACGAUGUCGAUUUGGAGGUUGUGCCCUUGAGGCGUGGCUUCCGGAGCUAACGCGUUAAAUCGACCGCCUGGGGAGUACGGCCGCAAGGUUAAA